Molecule: non-coding RNA, 24 nt
Filed under: Arabidopsis thaliana (thale cress)
Lineage: Eukaryota; Viridiplantae; Streptophyta; Magnoliopsida; Brassicales; Brassicaceae
Source: RNAcentral
AGGGAGUUUCGCGGAACACCACCG